AUCAACUUUCGAUGGUAGGAUAGAGGCCUACCAUGGUAGUAACGGGUAACGGGGNGUUUGGGCACGACACCGGAGAGGGAGCCUGAGAAACGGCUACCACAUCCAAGGACGGCAGCAGGCGCGCAAAUUACCCAAUCCCGACACGGGGAGGUAGUGACAAUAAAUAACAAUACGGGGUCCUUACGGGUCUCGUAAUUGGAAUGAGUACAAUUUAAAUCUCUUAACGAGGAACAAUUGGAGGGCAAGUCUGGUGCCAGCAGCCGCGGUAAUUCCAGCUCCAAUAGCGUAUAUUAAAGUUGUUGCAGUUAAAAAGCUCGUAGUUGAAUUUCGGGAUCAAUUUAUCGGUCGUGCCAAUGGUAUGAACUGGUACAAUUGGUUUCUCCCUUCUGAUGAAGCUCGAUGUCAUUAACUYGGUGUCGUGGGGAAUCAGGACUGUUACUUUGAAAAAAUUAGAGUGUUUAAAGCAAGCCUUGGCUUGAAUACAUUAGCAUGGAAUAAUGAAAUAGGACGUUUGAUCCUAUUUCGUUGGUUUCUAGGAUCGACGUAAUGAUUAAUAGGGAUAGUUGGGGGCAUUAGUAUUCAAUUGUCAGAGGUGAAAUUCUUGGAUUUAUUGAAGACUAACUACUGCGAAAGCAUUUGCCAAGGAUGUUUUCAUUAAUCAAGAACGAAAGUUAGGGGAUCGAAGACGAUCAGAUACCGUCGUAGUCUUAACCAUAAACUAUGCCGACUAGGGAUCGGAUGAUGUUAAUUUUUUAAUGACUCAUUCGGCGCCUUACGGGAAACCAAAGUGUUUGGGUUC
This 799-nucleotide ribosomal RNA is filed under the name uncultured Glomeromycotina. RNAcentral describes it as "SSU rRNA". It matches the Rfam family "Eukaryotic small subunit ribosomal RNA", at positions 316 to 1125 of the family's 1831-position model. Lineage: Eukaryota; Fungi; Glomeromycota. The record is from RNAcentral.